Molecule: long non-coding RNA, 438 nt
Filed under: Daucus carota (carrot)
Lineage: Eukaryota; Viridiplantae; Streptophyta; Magnoliopsida; Apiales; Apiaceae
Description: long non-coding RNA (DCAR_LNC005712)
Source: RNAcentral
AUUGUCUAGCAUAUCAUGUUGAGGAGUUCUGGCCAAAGAAAACUAAAGGUUCAGGGUGUUUAAACUGUUAGUAUUGCAUUGAUUUUUUGGUCAUUUCAAAUCAGGUGAACCUUCAGUUGGAACUGUGUCCGUUUCUUGUGUUAUUAUCCUGUUUUGUAUUAAGAUAUUUAGAAACCUCUUUAUACCGUUUUUUUAUUUUUAAAAUUCUAGCAGGCAAGUGGAAUCGUCGCCAACCCCUAGUAAGUAAAUUUCACUCAAUAACUUUAAAAAAUUAGUAUACAUUACACAUGAUAUUAAAUUGAAUUCUGCAUUCAGAUCGUGAGUUACCCGAAACCUAUGCUGUGUCUCCUGAACAUAUGGCUGCAUCGCAUCUUGCCCAUUCCCAUGUUCAUGUUCCACCUUUUCCCAGUGCAAUAUCCGGUGCAAUUGCAAGUGUGG